This 515-nucleotide ribosomal RNA is filed under the name uncultured bacterium. RNAcentral describes it as "partial 16S ribosomal RNA". It matches the Rfam family "Bacterial small subunit ribosomal RNA", at positions 28 to 523 of the family's 1533-position model. The record is from RNAcentral.
GAUAAACGCUGGCGGCGUGCCUAAUACAUGCAAGUCGAGCGAAUGGAUUAAGAGCUUGCUCUUAUGAAGUUAGCGGCGGACGGGUGAGUAACACGUGGGCAACCUGCCCAUAAGACUGGGAUAACUCCGGGAAACCGGGGCUAAUACCGGAUAAUAUUUUGAACUGCAUGGUUCAAAAUUGAAAGGCGGCUUCGGCUGUCACUUAUGGAUGGACCCGCGUCGCAUUAGCUAGUUGGUGAGGUAACGGCUCACCAAGGCAACGAUGCGUAGCCGACCUGAGAGGGUGAUCGGCAACACUGGGACUGAGACACGGCCCAGACUCCUACGGGAGGCAGCAGUAGGGAAUCUUCCGCAAUGGACGAAAGUCUGACGGAGCAACGCCGCGUGAGUGAUGAAGGCUUUCGGGUCGUAAAACUCUGUUGUUAGGGAAGAACAAGUGCUAGUUGAAUAAGCUGGCACCUUGACGGUACCUAACCAGAAAGCCACGGCUAACUACGUGCCAGCAGCCGCCGUAA